CAAACCCACACAUAACAUUUGUUUAUGUGGUGAUGGGUCGCAUCGCUGUUUUAUUACAGUGAGCACCUAAAAUGUGUGUGAUUUUCUGUCUGGCUUGCUAGGCAGGAAUAUUACGCUGGUCUCAGGAUCUUUUUUUUGGUUCGCCCAGGAAGUAAAGUACAAGAGUAUAAUCCAGUAACUUUCAAA
Molecule: unclassified non-coding RNA, 186 nt
Filed under: Rhizopus arrhizus
Lineage: Eukaryota; Fungi; Mucoromycota; Mucoromycetes; Mucorales; Rhizopodaceae
Description: partial internal transcribed spacer 2
Source: RNAcentral